RNAcentral lists this transfer RNA (81 nucleotides) under Solanum lycopersicum (tomato). It matches the Rfam family "tRNA". From Rfam's summary of the family: Transfer RNA (tRNA) molecules are approximately 80 nucleotides in length. Their secondary structure includes four short double-helical elements and three loops (D, anti-codon, and T loops). Further hydrogen bonds mediate the characteristic L-shaped molecular structure. tRNAs have two regions of fundamental functional importance: the anti-codon, which is responsible for specific mRNA codon recognition, and the 3' end, to which the tRNAs corresponding amino acid is attached (by aminoacyl-tRNA synthetases). tRNAs cope with the degeneracy of the genetic code in two manners: having more than one tRNA (with a specific anti-codon) for a particular amino acid; and 'wobble' base-pairing, i.e. permitting non-standard base-pairing at the 3rd anti-codon position. The record is from Rfam by way of RNAcentral. Lineage: Eukaryota; Viridiplantae; Streptophyta; Magnoliopsida; Solanales; Solanaceae.
GCCUUGGCGGUGAAAUGGUAGACACGCAAGACUCAAAAUCUCGUGCUAAAGAGGGUGGAGGUUCGAGUCCUCUUCAAUGCA